CCUACGGGAGGCAGCAGUGAGGAAUAUUGGUCAAUGGACGAGAGUCUGAACCAGCCAAGUAGCGUGAAGGAUGACUGCCCUAUGGGUUGUAAACUUCUUUUAUAUGGGAAUAAAACGUUCCACGUGUGGGAUUUUGUAUGUACCAUAUGAAUAAGGAUCGGCUAACUCCGUGCCAGCAGCCGCGGUAAUACGGAGGAUGCGAGCGUUAUCCGGAUUUAUUGGGUUUAAAGGGAGCGUAGGUGGAUUGUUAAGUCAGUUGUGAAAGUUUGCGGCUCAACCGUAAAAUUGCAGUUGAAACUGGCAGUCUUGAGUACAGUAGAGGUGGGCGGAAUUCGUGGUGUAGCGGUGAAAUGCUUAGAUAUCACGAAGAACUCCGAUUGCGAAGGCAGUUCACUGGACUGCAACUGACACUGAGGCUCGAAAGUGUGGGUAUCAAACAGGAUUAGAUACCCUUGUAGUC
This 460-nucleotide ribosomal RNA is filed under the name uncultured bacterium. RNAcentral describes it as "partial 16S ribosomal RNA". It matches the Rfam family "Bacterial small subunit ribosomal RNA", at positions 338 to 795 of the family's 1533-position model. The record is from RNAcentral.